CUAUUUAACUCCACUAACCAAGAAAAAGGCCUGCCGCCAGACAUGUUACUAGCCAACAUCAUUACAUUACCCAAGCCCGGGAAGCAACCCAAUGAAUGCAAAAAUUUCAGACCCAUAUCGCUGCUUAACGUAGACGCAAAGAUCUAUGCCAAACUGUUAGCCAACAGACUAUCCUCAAUCAUACCUACGCUAAUAGGGAGAGAUCAAGUGAGG
Molecule: non-coding RNA, 213 nt
Organism: Pelobates cultripes (western spadefoot toad)
Lineage: Eukaryota; Metazoa; Chordata; Amphibia; Anura; Pelobatidae
Source: the annotation of a GenBank genome assembly